GGAGAGUUUGAUCCUGGCUCAGGACGAACGCUGGCGGCGUGCUUAACACAUGCAAGUCGAGCGGAAAGGCCCUUCGGGGUACUCGAGCGGCGAACGGGUGAGUAACACGUGAGUAACCUGCCCUUGACUCUGGGAUAAGCCUGGGAAACCGGGUCUAAUACCGGAUACGACCAUUUCUCGCAUGUGAUGGUGGUGGAAAGUUUUUUCGGUUGGGGAUGGGCUCGCGGCCUAUCAGCUUGUUGGUGGGGUGAUGGCCUACCAAGGCGACGACGGGUAGCCGGCCUGAGAGGGCGACCGGCCACACUGGGACUGAGACACGGCCCAGACUCCUACGAGAGGCAGCAGUGGGGAAUAUUGCGCAAUGGGCGGAAGCCUGACGCAGCGACGCCGCGUGGGGGAUGACGGCCUUCGGGUUGUAAACCUCUUUCAGCAGGGACGAAGUUGACGUGUACCUGUAGAAGAAGCGCCGGCUAACUACGUGCCAGCAGCCGCGGUAAUACGUAGGGCGCAAGCGUUGUCCGGAAUUAUUGGGCGUAAAGAGCUCGUAGGUGGCUUGUCGCGUCUGCCGUGAAAGCCCGUGGCUUAACUACGGGUCUGCGGUGGAUACGGGCAGGCUAGAGGCUGGUAGGGGCAAGCGGAAUUCCUGGUGUAGCGGUGAAAUGCGCAGAUAUCAGGAGGAACACCGGUGGCGAAGGCGGCUUGCUGGGCCAGUUCUGACGCUGAGGAGCGAAAGCGUGGGGAGCGAACAGGAUUAGAUACCCUGGUAGUCCACGCCGUAAACGUUGGGCGCUAGGUGUGGGGGUCUUCCACGAUCUCUGUGCCGUAGCUAACGCAUUAAGCGCCCCGCCUGGGGAGUACGGCCGCAAGGCUAAAACUCAAAGGAAUUGACGGGGGCCCGCACAAGCGGCGGAGCAUGUUGCUUAAUUCGACGCAACGCGAAGAACCUUACCAAGGUUUGACAUACACCGGAAA
RNAcentral lists this ribosomal RNA (972 nucleotides) under Amycolatopsis echigonensis. RNAcentral describes it as "bacterial SSU rRNA". It matches the Rfam family "Bacterial small subunit ribosomal RNA", at positions 8 to 996 of the family's 1533-position model. The record is from RNAcentral. Lineage: Bacteria; Bacillati; Actinomycetota; Actinomycetes; Pseudonocardiales; Pseudonocardiaceae.